This 324-nucleotide ribosomal RNA is filed under the name Triticum aestivum (bread wheat). RNAcentral describes it as "partial small subunit ribosomal RNA". The record is from RNAcentral. Lineage: Eukaryota; Viridiplantae; Streptophyta; Magnoliopsida; Poales; Poaceae.
AUGCAUGCAUGGCGGAAUGGAGUCGAUCUCUCUGCAAAAGGUAGCUCUAUAUAUACAAGCUCCGAAUUGAAGCUUAAUUUUAGCCAUGGCUUCCGAUCGAUCGAGAAAGAGAAAAGAACCAAUGGAGUUCUGGUGGCGCAUGCAAAGAUCAUUGCUGAUCGAUCGAAAUUAGUUUUAUUCUACUCUCGAGUGAGUCCUAGCUACAUCUAUCUACAUGCAUGCUGUUCUUGUACCGUCUUAUUAGGUUCUUUCUUGGUACCCCUAUUGUUUAAGGUGCUGGAUUUUCGAUAUUCUUGGAUCUCCUUAAUUCCGCUGUCAUUGUAA